UGAGUAACACGUGGGUAACCUGCCUGUAAGAUUGGGAUAACUCCGGGAAACCGGAGCUAAUACCGGAUAAUAUAUCGAACCGCAUGGUUCGAUAUUGAAAGAUGGUUUCGGCUAUCACUUACAGAUGGACCCGCGGCGCAUUAGCUAGUUGGUGAGGUAACGGCUCACCAAGGCGACGAUGCGUAGCCGACCUGAGAGGGUGAUCGGCCACACUGGGACUGAGACACGGCCCAGACUCCUACGGGAGGCAGCAGUAGGGAAUCUUCCGCAAUGGACGAAAGUCUGACGGAGCAACGCCGCGUGAGCGAAGAAGGCCUUCGGGUCGUAAAGCUCUGUUGUUAGGGAAGAACAAGUACGAGAGUAACUGCUCGUACCUUGACGGUACCUAACCAGAAAGCCACGGCUAACUACGUGCCAGCAGCCGCGGUAAUACGUAGGUGGCAAGCGUUGUCCGGAAUUAUUGGGCGUAAAGCGCGCGCAGGCGGUUUCUUAAGUCUGAUGUGAAAGCCCACGGCUCAACCGUGGAGGGUCAUUGGAAACUGGGGAACUUGAGUGCAGAAGAGGAGAGUG
RNAcentral lists this ribosomal RNA (570 nucleotides) under Bacillus sp. (in: firmicutes). RNAcentral's name for it is "bacterial SSU rRNA". It matches the Rfam family "Bacterial small subunit ribosomal RNA", at positions 107 to 663 of the family's 1533-position model. Lineage: Bacteria; Bacillati; Bacillota; Bacilli; Caryophanales; Bacillaceae. The record is from RNAcentral.